GACGAACGCUGGCGGCGUGCUUAACACAUGCGAGUCGAACGGAAAGGCCCUGCUUUUGUGGGGUGCUCGAGUGGCGAACGGGUGAGUAACACGUGAGUAACCUGCCCUUGACUUUGGGAUAACUUCAGGAAACUGGGGCUAAUACCGGAUAGGAGCUCCUGCUGCAUGGUGGGGGUUGGAAAGUUUCGGCGGUUGGGGAUGGACUCGCGGCUUAUCAGCUUGUUGGUGGGGUAGUGGCUUACCAAGGCUUUGACGGGUAGCCGGCCUGAGAGGGUGACCGGCCACAUUGGGACUGAGAUACGGCACAGACUCCUACGGGAGGCAGCAGUGGGGAAUAUUGCACAAUGGGCGGAAGCCUGAUGCAGCAACGCCGCGUGCGGGAUGACGGCCUUCGGGUUGUAACCCGCUUUCGCCUGUGACGAAGCGUGAGUGACGGUAAUGGGUAAAGAAGCACCGGCUAACUACGUG
RNAcentral lists this ribosomal RNA (468 nucleotides) under uncultured bacterium. RNAcentral's name for it is "partial 16S ribosomal RNA". It matches the Rfam family "Bacterial small subunit ribosomal RNA", at positions 28 to 507 of the family's 1533-position model. The record is from RNAcentral.